AGAAAUAAGAGUCUGGGAGGUCACCCCCAUUAAUUGUCAGGGUUGAUUCAGCUGAUCUAGCUGGUGGAUGUCCCCAUCCUUCUCCAACGUUCCAUGUGCAUCCCUCUGGAAGCUGCACCAUGGAUUGAAGAGAAUGACUCCUUGGACAGAGGAGGAGCUUUUCCUCAGUCAAGGAUAUGCAAGCUGCUGCUUUCCCCUGCUAGAACCUCUGAACAAACCCUCGAGGUCAAAGCAAGACCUGACCAAAAAAUCCUGAGUCUAACAGAGAAGGAGGAGGCAAGGGCUCUGUGAAAGAGAGAUGUGUGCUUCUU
Cavia porcellus (domestic guinea pig) is the source of this 311-nucleotide unclassified non-coding RNA. Its record names the gene 7SK. It matches the Rfam family "7SK RNA". From Rfam's summary of the family: 7SK was discovered as an abundant small nuclear RNA in the mid-70s but a possible function has only recently been suggested. The record is from Ensembl. NCBI's taxonomy places the organism in Eukaryota, Metazoa, Chordata, Mammalia, Rodentia, Caviidae.